UAAAAUAAAAAACGAAAGAAAAGAAAACUGAACACGGGUCUCACAGACCCGAUUACCAUACAAGGGUUAAAAGCAGUAAAUUAAAAGCAGAAAGACACAGGGAGUUGCCUGUUGUUUUGCGAGAAGUUGCUCGUUAAGUGAGAGUUGCUCACCCAAACAAAAAUUGCUAGCAAUAAAUUUAAAGUAACCUCAGCUGUGCCGCAGCGAAAUACUAACAUAAAUCCUUCAAAGCGUGUAAACCCCUCUGGAAAUCACUGAACAUGGGUCAGAAUAAUUCAAAGACCACAGACAGGUCCGAUAAAAAAUCUAAAGUACCUGUAAAACCAAAAAUUAAUAAAAUACAAAAUAAAGUCUCAAAUAACGGCUCAGUACAACUCCCAUUUCCGGUUACGUGUAACCUACGUCCGCGAAUCGGUGAAGACGUCCAUGAUCACGUAUCCAGAACAUGCGGAAGUGCUUACGUGACUGACUUUGUUUACAACUUAAGAACUGUAAGUUCAAUGCAUUCUAAUUUAUUUCCGGAGCCCUAUCCCGAACGAUUAUCGCCAGAAAACAGGUCAGUAAAACUGAAGGCCAGUGCAGAUACUACCACGAAAGCUAAAAGUGUUAAGAUGAUGUUGAAUUUUGAUGUAGAAGGCUCAGAGGAAAGUGAGAAACUAAUGUAUGCAGGAUCAUCCGCUCCAGCACAGCAAGGAAGUUUCAGAGGACGGAGAGAUAAAAGUAGCGGAGCUCUUCCAGUCAAGGUAACUGGCAACCACAAGCUAGAGGUGCAAAUUUAGCUCAGUUUUCCAGCAGCCGCAGACACCCAGAGCAAAAAUGAAUUUGUGUAUUUCAUUUAACACAAAGGGUGAAAUGUUUGCUGACACUGAUAACAGCUUAUGUUUUCUCUGCCCUAUGUAUCGACAUGAUGGAGAAGGAACAGCCUCUGUGUCAGCUGGACCCUCAGCAGAGAAUGAACUCAACAUCCUUUUUGUCCGGUACUCUAUGUCACACACUGUGCCAAAAAAAACGUGUACAGACGCCACUACCAGGUAAUCCCAUGACUGGGAGCCACACUUUUGUUUCUCUCACACUGUUCAACAACAUGAUAACUGCUCACACAAGUGAAGGUCAAACAGUGAUUUUGUCACAUAACUCAGACAUAGUUUAUGACAUAACUAUACCAUGUUGACGACACAUAGAUCUAACCUACCCUACCCACUGUACUAUUUCUGCAGUUACAUUGCCAGCUGAAUACCAGAAUAUGACAUUAUGGUCAAAAAGUGAGAAUGAUAUAGGAUUUAUUGACUGUACACUUUAUCACGCACACCUAUUAAAACACAACAAGCCAGUAUAUGUCAAGCAAUGUCCCAUUUCUGCCGAAAAAGCCGCAGCCCUAGAUGUCAUGAUAGGAGAUUUAUUGACUAUAGGAGUAAUAAAGCCCACACUCCUGACAAUCCUGUGCCAAAGCCUAACAAACCUGGCGUAUGGCGUUUCAUACAAGACUUAAGGCAAAUUAAUGCAGUCAACAUUCCUCUGCCACCUCUCGUUUCAGAUGUUCACAACAUAUUGACAUGCAUUGCAUGCACAUUUUACCGUGGUGGAUUUAUGCUCUGCCUUUUUCUCAGUACCUGUGCAUGAAGACACACAGCCGUUAUUUGCAUUCACACAUAGAAAUAAGCAGUACACUUGGACUCGUUUGCCCCAAGGCAUGGUAGACAGCCCUGCUGCUUUCUCAAUGGUGGUCCGUGCUACCCUGGACAGCUUCACUCCUCCAGGGCUGUACUGGAUGACCUCCUCCUCUGUGCUGAAAGUGAAAAACUAUGUCAAACUGCUACACACAUGCUUCUCCAGCACCUCCAACAGACUGGCCACAAAGCAUCAGCAAAGAAAAUGCAGUACUGUCAGACUUCUGUUCAAUAUUUGGGAUUCACACUGUCUCACGGAAAACGUUCCAUGACUGCAGACAGGGUCAAAGCUGUGACCUCUGUCCCUCGGCCCACUACACAGAAGGAAAUGUGUCCUUCUUAGGCAUGGUGAACUAUUGCAGACAGUGGAUACCAGACUGUUCUUUUCAUGACCACAUUCUGCGUGACUGUUGUAAAAAAGACAAGCCUCCUCGAAUACUGUGAUCCACAGAAGUGACUGCCUCUUUCAAUGCAUUAAAGGGAGUGCUGACCUCCGCCACUCAAAGGUGCUGCCUGAAUUGUUCAGGGAAUGCCGGCCUGCCUGAGGGCAGUAGCAGCUUGCUCUAUCAUGAUAAGGGACUGCGAGAAGUUUACACUCUCACAUGACACUAUUCUACACACCAAUCACCAGGUCACGACCAUUCUAGCAAACAUAACUACACAACAUGCAAAUCUCACUAUAAAAGCGAGCAGCACACCUGAUUCGCCAGCACAUUUAUUGAUCCUAUGCUGUGUUCUUCUGACCGACAGGAUGGCUCAGACAGGCUUGACGAUCAUGACUGCAUGACACGUAUACAGGAAUCCACAGCACCACGUCCAGAUUUAGAGCAAACACCUAUCCCAGACUCAGCCACGGUUUAUGUGGACGGGUCCUGUUCAAGGCCGAAUGACAACUCAUUUCUUUGUGGCUAUUCAGUGGUAACAGUGCCUGACAUACUAGAGGCUCACUCAUUACCAUUUCACUCAGCACAAAAAGCAGAGCUCAUGGCUUUAAUACGCGCCUGUGAGCUCCAUUUGGAUAAGCGUGUGACAAUUUACACAGACAGCCGCUAUGCAUUUGGCGUCGUGCAUGACUUUGGCACAUUGUGGAGACAGAGAGGAUUUAGAUCUGCUGAUGGAAAACCGAUUGCUAAAUUCUGAUUUUGUUCAAAGACUUUUUCAGGCUAUACAGCUGCCAUCGGCCGUUGCAGUUGUAAAAACGAAAGGACACAGUACAGCUGACACAGACGAAGCAACAGGUAAUGCUUUAGCAGACGUGACAGCCAAGGCUGCAGCUGCAUCACAGCUCCCACCUCCGCAGGAAGUAUUAUCUGUGCCCCUACAGCUGCCACUUGUUACACUCCCAGACUAUUUAGAAACAAAUGUUGAUUUAAAAUUCAUACAAGAGCAAGCCUCUGCAUCUGAUUACACCUAUUGGGAGAAUAAUGACUGUACCUUAGAUGACAGAGAUGGCUUAUACAAAAAUUUUAAGGGUUUGAUUGCCCUCCCAUAUUCCCUGAUGCCAGUCCUUGCCCGACAUUUUCACUGUGUGAGUCAUGUCGGACAAAGAGGGGUAAUAGGGACAAUAAAAUCAAGAUUUGUAAUUGAGAAAACAUCACAUGCAGUAAAAAGCAUAUUAGCAACCUGUCUAACAUGUGCACAAACUAAUGUAGGGAGACCAAAAGCGAAACAUCAGCAUUUACCACAACCAGAUUUUCCAUUUCAUACAUUAUGACUCCAUCUGCAGUAACCAAAUUAUUUCCAUUUGAAAUAAGACUAUUUCCAACACCAUGGUCAGCUUCCAGAGGGGCACCGCUAGUAGAAGGUGAUGUAUAUUGCAUUGUCCACUGAUGUUCACAAUCUGGUAGAAAAACUGAAUAAUAACUAUCAGAAAGUUUGUCUCUCUCAGCCUUUCCCCUCCACAGUUCCACCAGUGGAGACAAGGAGACGCGUGUUGGUGAAGUUGCUAAAACCAAGGACACUCGGGGAGGCCGCGUUUUCCAGCCCCCAGACUGUACUGGCAGUGACGAAGAACCAGCAUCCUCACAGACGGACAACCUCAGUGGAUUCAUGCCAGCAGGGUUAAGACCAGCCCAAUCGGACCAUCUCAGGCGUCGGAUCAAGUAGAUGACAUCUCCGGCGGGCCAGCGCCAGGAUCCAAUUCAAUCCACUACACACACACAAUCACUGAUUAACACACAACGCCUGAAAGAGCCAAGACUCAGAGAGCUCUUUGAUGCUUCACCUGAACAACAAAAAGGUACUCGAACAUCCAGCAGGAAUAGGAAGCCAAAAGUACCAUAUGAUGUCUAAUCUGAUAAAGCCAGACUCAUUCCAUCCUGAUAAUGGAGAAAAUGAAAUGCCCAUUGUCAUCACACGGCACUUAUUCUGUGUCUCUCGAACCUGGGACCAGGCCAGGAGACGACUGAAGAACUGUUUUUCUUAUAUAUUUAGGUUAUUUAUCAUAUCUAUCGCAUUAACCUUAGGAUUUUUCUUUGCUAUUUUGUAUUGUAAACUGCAACCAUGUUCACAUUUCUGCAGGUCAUAUUUGCUGACUAUACCUCAUGCUCUAUUUUGCAAGACACAUACUUAAUGCACUCCUUACGUUCCCUAAAAUCAGUAAAUAGCAACAUAGACGCAACUAAUAAACCAUCUUAUGCGCCCUCUAGAACAGGAGUUAACUCCUGGUAUGAAAAUGCUAGAACAGCUGCUCGUGAUUUAGGAAACAGUAACUGUUAUGUCUGUUCAAAGGCUAAUCCAGAACAGGUCACGGUCAGUGGCUACAUAAGUGGCUACAGGACACGUUUGGAAAAUGGAAGGAACUAAUUGUAGCCUUUGUCACCAUUGUAGCAUGUAUUAUUUGUUCUUGAUAAUUAUUGUCUGUUGUGUGAUACCAUGUAUACGCUCUCAGAAUUUUUGAUAUUGAGCUUACUCGAAGGACUAGUUACAUUUAUGAUUUGUUUCACAUUUAUGAUUUGUUUUUAUAUUAUGUUAUUACAUUCUGUCUUUAUACUAUGUUAUCAUUUCAUGAUAAAAGGGGGGAACUGUUGUGAUAUUUUGAUACCAUGAUAGCAUUUACAGGAUAUUGUUUUAUAGUGAUAUCAUACAUGAAACUGUUACUCAAUAAGGCCCAUUUACUAGUUGUUUUUCUCUUUCUCUGUGACCCAAGAAUUAAUGUGUAAGACUCACAGGCUGGUACCCCAAGGUCGAAAACACCACAGAGACGAGACCACUUCCUUACUCCCAUCCUCCCUUUUUCUUUAUCUCUUAGAAAAGGCUCGUUAAAGGCCAGGUGGUUUGUUUCAGAAUUCACUAAUGAAAGAACUCUGUAUUCUAUGUCUAGGAGUGUAUUUUGCUGGGAUGAUCAUAAUUUAUAGCUGAACUGAUAAACUACACAAAGGAUACUUCUUUGCUCAGUAGGCAGGAAGACAUUUCCUUAUUUGGUCUGUACCGGUUUGAACUGGGAAAACUGACACACGAACCUUUUUUCCUCUAUAUAAACUGUUGUGUACCAAAUAAACCUUUGAGUCGAUUGGGAAGGCAACCUAAA
Haplochromis burtoni (Burton's mouthbrooder) is the source of this 5196-nucleotide long non-coding RNA. RefSeq lists it as uncharacterized. Lineage: Eukaryota; Metazoa; Chordata; Actinopteri; Cichliformes; Cichlidae. The record is from RefSeq and is a predicted model, not a curated record. The transcript is spliced from 2 exons.